RNAcentral lists this long non-coding RNA (1506 nucleotides) under Pogona vitticeps (central bearded dragon). RNAcentral's name for it is "lncRNA (ENSPVIG00000015930.1)". Lineage: Eukaryota; Metazoa; Chordata; Lepidosauria; Squamata; Agamidae. The record is from RNAcentral.
AUUCCCCCUUCCGCCACUACUUCUGGUUCCGCCUCGCCCCCUGGUUUCCCCCCCCCAGUUUGGGCAUGCGAGCCAAAAAAGGUUCGCCACCACUGGACUAGGUAGUCUUAAUGGAAGGAUUUUUAAAAUGUUCUGCUGGUGGCUUAGAUGCUCUGUUUCACAUAUUGCUACUGUACUUUUGAUGACAGAUUUGUGAGCACUAUUCUUCAUAUAGUGGAGAAAAUAUAGAGCAGAACUAGAGGAAAUAAUUCAAAUAUGCUGCCAUCUUGCUAAGGAGUGAGAGACCAUGAGGCCUUCUCAAUGAGCCUACUCUUUUCUCUCUCCUCCAUGUAAAAAAAAGAAAAAAGCUUUUGACUGCCACCAUAAAAUAAAUGCAUAUGUAUUUUUGCUCCUUAUUCUCUCAUUCACUGUAGGAAUGAGAAAUCCACUGGGCAUUUAUGAUUCUAGUAGGAAGUAAGAGAAAAACAUUAAUGGCUUUGUAUACUGAAGUGGAUUACCACUGGAUUAUGUGAUAAAAUUAACAUGUAUCUCUCAAGUUACAUGUCCUGAAAAUAUAAAUCCCGGUAAUGAAAUGCUUUCUACUUCAUGAAAUAUAUCCAAGCAUGAUCACUGCUGAAAAAAAUGAUUGAAACAACAGUUAAAUUAAUCCAUCUACAUAUGUUGUUUGGUUGAAAUAUAUGGAAUGAUGUAUGUGUGCUAAUCUCUUCAAAAGGCUAUAAAUGAAAAGGCAAAAAUCUGUGCUUAUUCAUACUUCCCCCUUUCCUUUCAUUGCAGCAGAAUUUUAGACCUUUUCAGUAGUGAUGUAUACUGAAUUGAAUGUCUUGAAGAUUCUUGCUUAAAAUUCCCCUGCAUCUUACAAAGAUGCCAUUGUAUCCUGCUGCUCAGUCUCUUAGCCUACAACUCAGUCCCCUCAAUAGCACUGGGAAAUGGUUAUCUGAAAGAAAAAUCAUAAAAAUUAACAACUUCAGGCUGUACUGUUUCUUAUAUCCAAGGACUGGGCAACAAGCAUCUGUGAGCCAUGUGAAUACCAAUACUCCAGGUGUUCUUUGUUUAUGUUGGAAGCAAUCCAGUGGUGCUUCUGGAAUGAAAGGAUCCAUCAAUGGAGUGUGCUGCCAUAGUCCAGGAGAUGUCCAACUGUUUUCACAUCCUCAUAUUCUUCAGGGAGGUUCCUUCCUUGUUCCUCCUCCUUACUCAUCAUCAGUACCACAUCAUCCAGACUUGUUCUCUCAGUCCUUCCCAAGCUGGAUUUGCAGUGAAUGAAUGAGAUGCAUGCAGACAGUAAAUGAGAUGGUAGAGAUUGGCUCAGAAGUGUUUGAGUACUUUUUCACCCAAAGAUACAAAUGCACACAUACAUUUUUGUUAUAUUUAAAAGAUUUCUAUCUGAUUGUCCAGCAAAGUUUUAAAUGUGACUAACAAUAACAUUUUCAAGCCCAAUGGCCAACUUAAGUUCUAAAAUACAGUAAUGAAAAAAAAAAUCAGAAUUAAUAAAACAGUGUUAAUGUGGCA